GCCACCCCCUGCUCCACGGCGCCCAGUCCCAUCGACCACCCAAGGGCUGAGGAGUGCGGGCACACGGCACCGGGACUGGCAGGCACGUCCGCCUGCAGCCCCGUGCGGGAUCCACUGGGUGAAGCCUGCUGGGCUCCUGAGUCUGGUGGGGACGUGGAGAACCUUUAUGUUAACCUUUAUGUUAACAUGAACCUUUAUGACACUGACCUUGCCAACUGUGUGGGACCUGGUUGAGGCCUCUUGCCACCAGCUAUCUCCAACUUUCCUGGCCAACUAUAUAAUACAGUAGAGGCAACGAAAAUCCCCUCUAGAACAUAACCUCAUUGUCCUGAGAACCACCACCAUCCACCACAAUGGCUGCAGCAAGCCCCGCCCAAGAUAUUUUCUAAAGAUGGAAAGACACAUUCUGCCAUAUAGCUACUAUUUGCUUCCACAUCUGUUAUCUGCUCGUCUCCCCUCAACUCCGUAUCUCAAGAGACUGACCUGCUUGGAUUGCGUCAAGGGCUCUGGCUUAGGACAGACCUCAGCUAACUAUGGGACUUGGCAGGAGAUCCAGCAGCAGGAGGAAAGUGAGAAAAUCUACAGUGAGGCAGUAUAAAAGGAAGAACAAAGAAACGGGAAGGAGGAAACAAGGAAGAAACAAAACCAUAAAGUAUCUGAAGAGUACAAUAUGAUUACUAUGCAAGUGUUUU
This 692-nucleotide long non-coding RNA is filed under the name Homo sapiens (human). Its description in RNAcentral is "HSALNT0376590". The record is from RNAcentral. Lineage: Eukaryota; Metazoa; Chordata; Mammalia; Primates; Hominidae.